GAUGAACGCUGGCGGCGUGCUUAACACAUGCAAGUCGAACGGAAAGGCCCAAGCUUGCUUGGGUACUCGAGUGGCGAACGGGUGAGUAACACGUGGGUGAUCUGCCCUGCACUUCGGGAUAAGCCUUGGAAACUGGGUCUAAUACCGGAUAGGACCACAUUUUGGAUGGUGUGGUGGAAAGUUUUUCGGUGUGGGAUGAGCUCGCGGCCUAUCAGCUUGUUGGUGGGGUAAUGGCCUACCAAGGCGUCGACGGGUAGCCGGCCUGGGAGGGUGUACGGCCACAUUGGGACUGAGAUACGGACCAGACUCGUACGGGAGGCAGCAGUGGGGAAUAUUGCACAAUGGGCGCAAGCGUGGUGCAGCGACGCCGCGUGGGGGAUGACGGCCUUCGGGUUGUAAACUCCUUUCGCUAGGGACGAAGCGCAAGUGACGGUACCUGGAGAAGAGGCACCGGCUAACUACGUG
This 465-nucleotide ribosomal RNA is filed under the name uncultured bacterium. Its description in RNAcentral is "partial 16S ribosomal RNA". It matches the Rfam family "Bacterial small subunit ribosomal RNA", at positions 28 to 507 of the family's 1533-position model. The record is from RNAcentral.